RNAcentral lists this ribosomal RNA (253 nucleotides) under uncultured bacterium. RNAcentral describes it as "partial 16S ribosomal RNA". It matches the Rfam family "Bacterial small subunit ribosomal RNA", at positions 524 to 776 of the family's 1533-position model. The record is from RNAcentral.
GACAGAGGGGGCAAGCGUUGCUCGGAAUCACUGGGCGUAAAGGGCGCGUAGGCGGGAUGGCAAGUCAGUCGUGAAAUCUCUCGGCUCAACCGAGAAACGUCGGCUGAUACUGCCGUUCUUGAGGGAUGCAGAGGAGACUGGAAUUCCCGGUGUAGCGGUGAGAUGUGUAGAGAUCGGGAGGAACACCGGUGGCGAAGGCGGGUCUCUGGGCAUUUCCUGACGCUGAGGCGCGAAAGCGUGGGGAGCAAACGGG